UACGUAGGGUGCGAGCGUUGUCCGGAAUUAUUGGGCGUAAAGAGCUCGUAGGCGGUUUGUCACGUCUGCUGUGAAAUCCCGAGGCUCAACCUCGGGCCUGCAGUGGGUACGGGCAGACUGGAGUGCGGUAGGGGAGAAUGGAAUUCCUGGUGUAGCGGUGGAAUGCGCAGAUAUCAGGAAGAACACCCGUGGCGAAGGCGGCUCUCUGGGACGUGACUGACGCUGAGGAGCGAAAGCGUGGGUAGCAAACAGG
Molecule: ribosomal RNA, 253 nt
Filed under: uncultured bacterium
Lineage: Bacteria
Description: partial 16S ribosomal RNA
Rfam family: Bacterial small subunit ribosomal RNA
Source: RNAcentral